Molecule: long non-coding RNA, 583 nt
Filed under: Homo sapiens (human)
Lineage: Eukaryota; Metazoa; Chordata; Mammalia; Primates; Hominidae
Description: non-protein coding lnc-VOPP1-3:3
Source: RNAcentral
AUAGAGAGCUCCCUGAGCAGUGGGGAUGCUGGCCUGCCUCACUUGCUGGAGGUUUGUGAGAGCCUCCAGGUGGCAUCUGGCCCCUGCUCCGAUGCCUGUGUGCACUCACCCACCCUGCCCUGCCCUGCCCUGCCCUGCCCUGUGGGGCUGGGCCCUGCCUCCGGGAUGUUAGGAGCUGGACUUACCUGGAAAGCCCAGGAGAGGCUCCCAUUGUCUUUCCUUGUUCCUUCUUUCUCUUCCUGCACGUGAGAGGGCAACGAGUGAACCGUGACUCGCAGCAUCUUGCAGACUGCACAGAAGCCAAAAAGCAUUGCUGGUAUUUCGAAGGACUCUAUCCAACCUAUUAUAUAUGCCGCUCCUACGAGGACUGCUGUGGCUCCAGGUGCUGUGUGCGGGCCCUCUCCAUACAGAGGCUGUGGUACUUCUGGUUCCUUCUGAUGAUGGGCGUGCUUUUCUGCUGCGGAGCCGGCUUCUUCAUCCGGAGGCGCAUGUACCCCCCGCCGCUGAUCGAGGAGCCAGCCUUCAAUGUGUCCUACACCAGGCAGCCCCCAAAUCCCGGCCCAGGUCAGCCAGCCCUGUCCUU